Molecule: non-coding RNA, 62 nt
Filed under: Candidatus Zhuqueibacterota
Lineage: Bacteria; Pseudomonadati
Description: Candidate division Fluoride sequence
Rfam family: Fluoride riboswitch aptamer (crcB RNA motif)
Source: RNAcentral
AGUAUUAAUGGCGAUGGGGUUCGCCUUUAACCGCCUAAACGGCUGAUAACUCCUACCGGUUA